Molecule: long non-coding RNA, 2281 nt
Filed under: Homo sapiens (human)
Lineage: Eukaryota; Metazoa; Chordata; Mammalia; Primates; Hominidae
Description: HSALNT0305956
Source: RNAcentral
GAGGAAAAGAAAACAUCAGCACCAGAGCCAAACCUAUUUCUCCGGGUAAUCCAUCUCUGUACUGCUGCUCCCUGCAAAUCUCUCUCGCGUUAGGUUCCCUGGCUUCAGACUAAUGCACACACUGUAUUCCUCAGAAAUUUAAAGAUGACAGCUUUUUUUUUUCUUCAUUAAGCGCCCUUCUCUUCAAAAGACAAAAAAGGUAAGAUUCUCUGGGUCAGAAGCCAGACAGACUUUUUCACAGCUCUGAAAAAGUGAGAACAGCGAAUUCACUUCCCUUCUCCCAAAAGGCAUGUGCCACCGGGUGCUCCUGCUCCCUGCAAGAUCCCUUCCUGUAGAGUUAGGAGGUAGAGGUGUGGCUCCGAUGUGUUCCCCAGGCGUCCCUGUGAGGUCGGCGCCCUCCCCUGUCCAUUCCCCUUAGAGCCUUGGGUCGCUUCCCACCCCGCGUCCCCUGGGACACCACUGGACGCCUGGCCCUGCCCGUGAGCGCCGCUCCACUCCGCCUGGAUGUGGGCACGCGGGAAGGCCACUGCCCAGCCGCCACUCCCGGCUUCCCUGAAGGGCAGGGCAGGGGCGGGAACGGAAGGGAGCUGCAUGGAAGGAAGCCGUUUGGGAACUGUGGUUGGUCUGACUGGGUGUUGGGUUUGUGGCUACCCAGAGAAAGGCACGGAGUUAGCCCUUCGCAGUGGGUGACGCCCUGCUCCUCGCCCGGUCCCCCUCAGCUCAGCCUCCUGUGAAAGAGAAUCUGGGGCUACAACGCACUUCCCUCCCCAACUCCGGGGAACGCCGUCUCCCUGCAGCGUAGUAGGAAAGGCGCCCCUGCAGGGGUGCAGCUGCAGCCCCAGGGAGAAGCCCCUUCAACCCCCCACGCUAGGAGAGGCCCACCGCCCUGGCCCAGAGGUCGGCCUGGCCUCAGUUUCCCUCCCUCUGUCCUCCGCCCCCAGCUCCCUCUCCCCAGAACUAGGCAGGGCAGGACAGCCCUUGGGGGUCUUGGCUCUUUACUUGGGUCCCUUUAGAGCUCUUCCUAUCAGUGAGAGAUUUAUUCACAAAGACGAUUCUUUUUGUUGUUCUGGGGCUAUUGACUCAAAUACACAAAAUACAAACACGGAGUCACUCAGAUACUACGAUCUCUCUAGUCUGUGUUAAUCUAGUACAAUUUCUCCCUAAGUAGAACAUUGAUCCAGGCACUGACCCCAUCCCACGAUGAGGAGUAUUAUUUUCUGUUGCUCUGCACGACGAUGUCAGGACAGCAUCCCCCUUCCCCACCCUGCCCAGUCCUCCCAGGCUUGCCUGGGCCUGUGUGAAGGGAUAGUGCCUGUCCCAGAACCACCACUCACCCCUUGGUGGCAACACAAAGAAUAAGCACGACUGCUUUUGGGCCCUUAGCCCAGAUCCUGGGCCAGGUGUCCCCACACCUGUUAGGGAAGCAGUAAGGAUUUCUUCCUGUGCCAGCAAUCUCUUGCUGAGGGGAUGGGAGGGGGAUUCAUUCUCUGAUUUCACGUAUGGUUUUAGUUCCCAUGAGAUCCCCCAAGGACUUUGUAGCCACAGCUGUUUGUCUAUUCUCAGCUAUGCAGGCAGAAAGGCAGGCAACAGGGUCUUCUCCUCGGAGGAGCUAUGGUGUCUGCCUUCAGGGAGUGCUCCCACACUUCGGGAGGCUAAACUUUCCUCAUUGAGACAGCACAGCUUCCUGUGAAGCUGUAGAGUAAGGAACGCUGCCCAGCACACACUGGGGGUUGAGGGCUGUGGGGAGAGGAUCCUCACUCAGAGAGGGGGCAGGUUGCCAUCAGGCAAUGCAGGGACUUUGUCAAGGGCCAGAAAUCUGUUUUCCGUUCCUAUGUCCCACCCUGGAUCUCCUCGUUCUCCUUCCCCAGUAUUUGCCAGGCAUAGGAGACUCUGUAGUGGCUUUAACUAUGGUGCUGGAGGGAGCAUGACUGGGUUGUGUGUUUGGGGAGGGGUGGAAGAGUGGAGGUGCAUGGCAUGUAUGUGUAUGUGUACAUGGAUCACAUAUGAUGGGCACUUACAUGUUGCUUUUUAAUGAGAGAUGUAUUCAGUUCAAAGGACAUUUAAGGCGUUUAUGCUGAGCUGGUGCUGCCAGGUGUGUGCUGCUUAGAAUGAAAAGAUACAUCACACAUGUUCUAUGCAGUAAAAUAACCUCAAUCCAGUGGAACAGUGUUUCUCCAACUUUUCAGGCCGUGAUUCACAGUAAAAAUUCUUUUCUUAAAAAUUAUAUUUAUUUGUGUGAAAUAUAACAUAAAAUUUAUUAUCUUAACCAUUUUAAGUGUAC